Molecule: ribosomal RNA, 429 nt
Filed under: uncultured bacterium
Lineage: Bacteria
Description: bacterial SSU rRNA
Rfam family: Bacterial small subunit ribosomal RNA
Source: RNAcentral
ACGAACGCUGGCGGCAGGCUUAACACAUGCAAGUCGAGCGCCCCGCAAGGGGAGCGGCAGACGGGUGAGUAACACGUGGGAACGUACCCUUUUCUACGGAAUAACCCAGGGAAACUUGGACUAAUACCGUAUGUGCCCUUCGGGGGAAAGAUUUAUCGGAAAAGGAUCGGCCCGCGUUGGAUUAGCUAGUUGGUGGGGUAAAGGCCUACCAAGGCGACGAUCCAUAGCUGGUCUGAGAGGAUGAUCAGCCACAUUGGGACUGAGACACGGCCCAAACUCCUACGGGAGGCAGCAGUGGGGAAUAUUGGACAAUGGGCGCAAGCCUGAUCCAGCCAUGCCGCGUGAGUGAUGAAGGCCUUAGGGUUGUAAAGCUCUUUCACCGGAGAAGAUAAUGACGGUAUCCGGGGAAGAAGCCCCGGCUAACUUCGU